UUAAAAUAAUCGCGCGCGCGACAAUAAUAACGAUUGUUAAUCGUUUUAUAAAUAUUAUUGUUAUCAAUGUUGAAUAUUAUUAUUAUUAUUAAAAUCGUUACCGCGCCGCCGCGUUAUCGUCGUCGACAACAAACGCGCGCUCGCGCAAUCGAAAUAUUAUGUUAUACGACGGCGGUGGAUUUUUAUCCCUCUCUCUCUCUCUCACUCUCACUCUCUCUCUCUCUCUCUAUCUUUCUUUCUCUCUCUCAAUAAAAACCGCGCGCGCGUAUUAUAUUAUUAUGUACCUCGCGUAACAGCGUAUGCGAUGAUAAAAAAAAAAAAAAAAAAAAAAAAAAAAAAAAUAACAAAACAAAACGAAACGAAACGAACGCUAUUUCGACCUAUUUGAAACGGGUUGGAAAAAAAACUAAAAAAAAUAAAUAAUAAUUUCCGCUGAAUACUCGAUAAAACGCGUUUCACAACAAGCGCGCGCGGCGUCGUCGAAUGUUUUCGAAAUCCGAAAUCGUUUCUGUCGAAUCCGUAAAAUUUGUUUGUAUUCUUCCCCACCCCGAACCCGGCGUUACGACGUCCAUAAUAAACCGAUGAUGCGACACAAUCGCGCCCAGAUUUCCGACGAACCAGGCCGCUAAGCAGCAAAAUCCGCGUCGCGACAUUCUUAUCGCACCUACUGAUAUUUCGGUGGAAAAAAAAAAAAAACACAAAACAAAACACUAAAGAUACCCGGCGACGUUUCCCGAGACGAUUUUAUUAUUCGCGGGACGUCGAGUUCUCGACACGACCCGGUCCCGAGGUCGUUCCGGGCGC
Non-coding RNA from Cinara cedri, 804 nucleotides. Lineage: Eukaryota; Metazoa; Arthropoda; Insecta; Hemiptera; Aphididae. The record is from the annotation of a GenBank genome assembly.